GGGGAGAGAGAGUAGGGUUCGGGGGAGAGAGAGCAGGGUUAGGAGGAGAGAGAGUAGGGUUAGGAGGAGAGAGAGUAGGGUUAGGAGGAGAGAGAGUAGGGUUAGGAGGAGAGAGAGUAGGGUUAGGAGGAGAGAGAGUAGGGUUAGGAGGAGAGAGAGUAGGGUUAGGAGGAGAGAGAGUAGGGUUAGGAGGAGAGAGAGUAGGGUUAGGAGGAGAGAGAGUAGGGUUAGGAGGAGAGAGAGUAGGGUUAGGAGGAGAGAGAGUAGGGUUAGGAGGAGAGAGAGUAGGGUUAGGAGGAGAGAGAGUAGGGUUAGGAGGAGAGAGAGUAGGGUUAGGAGGAGAGAGAGUAGGGUUAGGAGGAGAGAGAGUAGGGUUAGGAGGAGAGAGAGUAGGGUUAGGAGGAGAGAGAGUAGGGUUAGGAGGAGUGUGUAUAUUAGGUUGUGUGACUAAAUGUUUUAACACUGUAUCAGAGGUGAGAUGCAGUGGACAUGUAUUUGGAGUGUGUGUGUGUGUGUGUGUGUGUGUGUG
Long non-coding RNA from Oncorhynchus keta (chum salmon), 529 nucleotides. RefSeq lists it as uncharacterized. The transcript has 3 exons. The record is from RefSeq and is a predicted model, not a curated record. NCBI's taxonomy places the organism in Eukaryota, Metazoa, Chordata, Actinopteri, Salmoniformes, Salmonidae.